CUUGAUCCUGUUCGGGAUAGCUGAUGUUCCGUUGUCGUACGCCGCUCUUGCUGCCUCCACUUCUUUCGGUAGCACCGCUUUAAGCUCCUCCUCAAAAGCUCCAAUCUUAUGGAAGAUUGAAGUCACUGCAUUCUUCUCACUCUCACCAUUGAUCAAAGCAUGAUCAACUAUAACUUGUCUUAGCUUCUGAAUCAACGGGUACGUUGCGCUACAAGGAUCAUCCGCGUAUGUGUAGACUUGUUCACGGUCCACGACUUUGAGUAAAUCCUUCUCGCAGAAGCGAGAAGGAUGAAGCUCACCAUUGACACCAGUAGUAAGAACUUUCUUGGCCACUUGAGAAACAGUGUUCUUCACAGUCUGUUUCAGAUUCUCCUCCAAAUGUCUCAAAUCCACAGCUUGACAAAUCGCAACGAGGAACGUUGUUGACAUAAGCUUGAGAAUAUCAACAGCUUCAGAAGUUUUGCGAGAUGAGAUUAGUCCCAAAGAGUUCACAUCUUGGUUAUGUUGCUCUGCUGAUUGAACAUGGCUAGUCACAGGAUUAGCUAAGUAUUGAAGCUCUGAACAAUAAGAAGCCAUUGCAAUCUCAGCUCCUUUGAAUCCAUAAUCCAAACUUGGAUUCCUCGAUGCGGUUAGAUUCGAAGGUAAACCAUUGUUGUAGAAAUCAUUCACCAGCUCUGAGAAUUGAGCAAACAUGAGUUUACCAAUUGCAGCAAUCGCCAAUCUCGUGUUAUCCAUUGAAACUCCGAUUGGUGUUCCUUGGAAGUUACCACCGUGAAUCGCCUUGUUCCUCGAUACAUCGAUCAACGGAUUAUCGUUGACGGAGUUAAUCUCACGCUCGAUCGAUUUCGUUGCGUAACGGAUUACUUCGAUUUGAGGACCUAACCAUUGAGGAGAAGUACGAAGAGCGUAACGAUCUUGUUUUGGUUUCUGUAACGGAUCCAUUUCGUGAAGCUUCUGAGCUAAUUUCAUGUAUGAGCUUCCGUCGAGGAUAUGUUCCAUUAUCGCCGCCGCUUCGAUUUGACCGGGGUGAUGUUUGAGUCUGUGAGUUAGAUGAUCGGUGAAUUCAGGUUUACCACUCAUAACCUCCGCGAAAACCGCCGACAAAAUCUCAGCCAAAACGGAGAGAACAUUCGUUUCGAAUAACACCAUUGACGCCAUUCCAGAUCCAACCGCCGUGCCAUUGACAAGCGCGAGACCUUCCUUAGGCUGGAGAUCGAAGAAUCCGGAGCUGAUUCCAGCUAAUUUGAAGGCUUCUUCAGCUGUUAAAGCUUCACCGUUGGGACCGGUAGCUUUGGAAUUGGGACGGCCGGUUAAAAUUCCGGCGAUGUAGGAAAGAGGAACGAGAUCUCCGGAGGCGGUGAUUGUACCGCGGAGUGGGAGAGAUGGAGUGAUGUUGUUGUUGAGGAAACUGGUGAUUGCUUCGAGAAUCUCGAAUCGGAUACCGGAAAAUCCUUGGAGGAGAGUGUUGAUUCGUACAAGCAUGGCGGCUCUUGUGGCGGAGUGCGGCAAUGUGUGGCUUGUUUCUUUCGUGCUUCCGAAUAUUCCGGCGUUAAGGAAUCUGUAACGAACACAAAAACAUUCAAAUUUCGUGUGGAUUAGUUAUUAAUUUUUUCAUUAAAUUAAAUCAUUAACUUUUAAUUACCCAACAAAAUAUGACCCGACCCACAUAGCUGACCCGACCCGUAUAUAUUUCCCAUGCAACGUCAUAACUUUUAAAGAAUUGUUUUCUGUGAUUUUAAUAACGUUAAUAUUCAUUAUUAGAAAAUUUAUUUUAUUGCCAUCGUAAAUUUUUUUAAAAUAAACUAAUGUCCUUUGAAUAAGAGUUUUUUAAAAUUCAUUUAAUUGGAGGAUUAAAAAAAUCUAGAAAGGAAAAUUAUAUAUCAAACUAACUAACUCCUAACAUUUUUUUUCUCCAUCCAUAUAUAUACUGCAUCCAAUUAAUAACUGCCACGUAUCUACCUAAGAAUAUACUAACAUUUAAAAUUUAAUUCAUUAUGAUUAGAGAAACAAAAGAAUAUGAUUAUUACCUAAUAAGCUCCUUCUGAAGUGCGACACCGUUUUUGGUUCUCCGAUGAGAAGUAGCACCAAAACCAGUAGUAACACCAUAACUAUCAGUGCCUUUGUUCAUACUCUCCAUAACCCAAUCACUACUCGCAUUCACACCGGCUCUAGCGGUCUCCGACAGCUCCACCUUCACACCGUUACCAAUGGUUGAGAUCGCAGCCACUUGUCCAAUGGUCAGAGUCUCACCUCCAAGAUUCACCACUGGCUUCCUAAACUCAACAACCAUUCUCUUCACUUCAUCCAAAUGGCUACCUUUCAUUUGCUC
RNAcentral lists this long non-coding RNA (2329 nucleotides) under Arabidopsis lyrata. RNAcentral describes it as "long non-coding RNA (ALYR_LNC002119)". Lineage: Eukaryota; Viridiplantae; Streptophyta; Magnoliopsida; Brassicales; Brassicaceae. The record is from RNAcentral.